GAUCUCAACUCACUGCAACCUCCGCCUCCUGGGCUCAUGCAAUUCUCCUAUCUCAGCCUCCCUGAGUAGCUGGGAUUACAGGCACCCGCCACCAUGCCUGGCUAAUUUUUGUACUUUUAGUAGAGACAGGGUUUCGCCAUGUUGGCCAGGCUGGUCUUGAACUCCUGACCUCAGGUGAUCUGCCCACCUUGGCCUCUCAAAGUGCUGGGAUUACAGAUGUGAGCCACAGCACCCGGCCAAGAGGUCAUUUUUUGUAUGCAGAAGUGACACAGCUAAAGUAGAGGGGUUUCUUGUUUCUUUAAGUAUUUAGAAACAACUUGAAUUUUAAAGUAGACUAGUCACUGAACCUGUUUGAGUACAAAUUUACUUUGUAAAUGCUUUCUUUUCUUAGAAAGUAUAAAGAAUCAUCAUAAGAUUCAAAUCAUCCAGAUCUGAAUAAUGGAAAAUUUUUAGGUUCCUAUUUUACUUGAUUUAUAUCUGAGAAAAGAUGCUGAAGUGGGAACAGAUAGCUGUACACCCAAGAAAUUGUUGUCAAACUUGAGAUCUUUAAAAAAGACACAGUUUAUUGAUUUUAUUUCUAUUAGAACAGUGAAUAUACCUACUAUAGAAAAUAGGCGAAAUUCAGAAAAGCAGGUAACAGAAAAGAAAAAAAAGAUAAGCUGUAAUACCACCUUCCAAAACAAUUACCAAAAAUGGUGUGGGCCAGGUGCGGUGGCUCACACCUGUAAUCCCAGCACUUUGGGAGGCCGAGGUGGGUGGAUCACCUGACGUCAAGAGUUGGAGACCAGCCUGGCCAACAUGACAAAACCCCAGCUCUACUAAAAAUACAAAAAAUUAGCCUGGUUUGGUGGUGGGCGCCUGUGAUCCCAGCUACUCGGGAGGCUGAGGCAGGAGAACCACUUGAAUCCAGGAGGCAGAGGUAGUGGUGAGCCAAGAUUGUGCCACUGCACUCCAGCCUGGGCAAUAGAGCAAGACUCCAUCUCAAAAAAAAAAAAAAAGGUGUGAAGUACUAUAUUUCCUUCCACUCUUUUCUCCAUACAUAGAAUUUAUAACCUUUAUUGUUUCUAUAUAACAAUAAUUAUAUUAAAUAUAAGAAUUAUC
RNAcentral lists this long non-coding RNA (1101 nucleotides) under Homo sapiens (human). Its description in RNAcentral is "HSALNT0304445". The record is from RNAcentral. Lineage: Eukaryota; Metazoa; Chordata; Mammalia; Primates; Hominidae.